Raphanus sativus (radish) is the source of this 1142-nucleotide long non-coding RNA. RefSeq lists it as uncharacterized. The transcript is spliced from 6 exons. The record is from RefSeq and is a predicted model, not a curated record. NCBI's taxonomy places the organism in Eukaryota, Viridiplantae, Streptophyta, Magnoliopsida, Brassicales, Brassicaceae.
CGUAUUUUUGGUCCUUUAUUUGUCCACAUUUGAGCAGCCCGUUAUGUUACGCACCGUUUUGAUUUUUCUUUUACCAACACGGUUUGUAACGCACCGUUUUGAUGUUAGGGUUGAGCUCAUCUUCUCUUCCGGCCAUUCGAGAUCGACGCACUACCUGACUUUUGAAAGCGUUGAUUCGUCUUCUUCCGAACAAUCAGAAGAGUUACAGAUUAACCUCUUUAAAGUCCUUCUUAAAUCCAUCACCCACGACCCGUCUUCAAUGCGAUCUUCACACAUGCAAGAGGUGGAGCUGCGCCUAUAACAGCACAGGAUAAUUCUCCUCCACCGUUUAAGUGUGUUUGCUCUAUUUUUAAGAGGCCAGUACUGUCAGACGCGGUGGUGAACUCAUGGAGUGGAUAUGCUGCUACUGGAUUCACAGGUUUAACAUCAGCGAAAGUUCUGGAAAUCUCAGAUAUAUGAAUCGUCGGCAGUAAUCGCUAUUUUGACCCACUGAAUCACGAUCGCUCAUUCAAUGACUCUUAUUCUCAUCCAAGCAGUGAAUCUCCAUUUAUAAAAAAGCCGCAGCUUCGGCCAUUAAUGGUGGCGAAAGGAAAUCUUGGUGGUGGAGGAGGGAGGUCAUCGCUUGGCGGUUGUGGUGGUGGACUGGUUUGGUUUGUGUAACGGGCGCCUGCACCUCCUGUCAAGUUCUCCAACGACACCAAGGGGCUAUAAACCGCAUAAUCUGUUGGUGCUAUGUCGAACGUGUCAUUGAACUCUAAAUUGAGAUAAAGCAAGCCUUUACACCAGAACAAGUUAACUAUGCCAAAGUGUGCUAAGAUAUGAUGAGGAGGUUCUUUUAUCUUUUUGAACAACAAUCAUGCUGCUGUUACAGGCCUCAAUGGUUGUUUGCUCAACAAAAUGAAUGCCAAGGUGGAAAAUCAUCUCUUAUUACUUGAUUCGUGCUCAUGUUUAUAUGUUUGCAGAGUUUGACAAAGAAACCGGUGCUGUUCAAUGCUUCCUCAGUAAGUAAGAUGCCCAAAUAAUUGUCUGUUAGUUACGAUCAUGAAAAGCAACAAAAUCGUGAUCUUUGAUUUUCAAUGGUGCAUGUAUAAUAGUGUUUAACUUCAGAAAGAUUAUACAGAGACUGUCUCAGUUUAUGGUUA